RNAcentral lists this ribosomal RNA (253 nucleotides) under uncultured bacterium. Its description in RNAcentral is "partial 16S ribosomal RNA". It matches the Rfam family "Bacterial small subunit ribosomal RNA", at positions 524 to 776 of the family's 1533-position model. The record is from RNAcentral.
UACGAAGGGUGCAAGCGUUACUCGGAAUUACUGGGCGUAAAGCGUGCGUAGGUGGUUUGUUAAGUCUGUUGUGAAAGCCCCGGGCUCAACCUGGGAAUGGCAAUGGAUACUGGCAAGCUAGAGUGCGGUAGAGGGUAGUGGAAUUCCCGGUGUAGCGGUGAAAUGCGUAGAGAUCGGGAGGAACACCAGUGGCGAAGGCGGCUACCUGGACCAGCACUGACACUGAGGCACGAAAGCUUGGGGAGCAAACAGG